CGACAGAGGAGCAGUACACAGAUGAACAUGGACAGCGGUGUUCAGAAAGGUGAUGUUUUCUGAGCGUGAGUCUGACUCAGUGUGGGGGGAGGAGUCAGCUGAAGGUCGCGAAGUCAGCCGUGUGGAGCGGAACACGGCGGUGGAGGGGCAGUGGACCGAGACGCACCACAGUGACCCCGCCCUGACCUCUGAACUCCCCACGGCCCGGGACGACUUCACACAGGGCCAAGAUGUGUAAGAGGCGUACCCAGAGACGGACAGUAGUGUGGGGGGGGAGCCUCCUGGAGCGACUAGACGACCUCUCUGAUGGGUCACGACUCCACAACCUCCAGCAGCACCUUCAUCACCUCAUCCACCUCUACUGUGAGGAGGAGGAGAAGGGAAGGAGGAGGAGAGGGGAGAAACGGCAUAACAGGCCUCCUUCAUCGCCUCGCUAGCUUCCUGUCCGCCCUCUGACCACACCCCUUUCCCUGAAGAUCCACCAAUCCUAUGCAUCAGGCACAUGCAAUCCCAGAGUGCUCCAGUGCACCUCAGUCCUGCCACCGUCUUCCUGUUUCAACAAUCACUACUGUUUGGUCUCAGCUGCUCGGCUGGUUAUUGCUCUCUUUCUUUCUUUUUCUUUCUUUCUUUCUGUGUUUUUCUUUUGCCUUUUUGUUGUGACCAAAGAGAGUUUGUGGUUGAUGAAUUCAGUUUGUCCCAUGUUUGUUCUGUAUGUAUUGGAUAUUGAUGCGGUGGUAGAACGCAGACAGACAUUAGUCAUGUAUGUGUUGUACUGCUAGAGUAGGUGGAUGGACUAACAGACGCUAUGAUAUUCACCUCACAACACUACCUAUCACUAGGACUACAGUUCUUAGUUAUUCUUACUACUACAUGAAAACUAGAUCACUUCCUCUUCCUCAUAUUGACCUUUCUUUAAAAAAGGUCAGAUAUCACGAUGUCACCUGUAGCACCCCUGAACCCCAAUCCCUGCUUCCUGCUUCCUGCUGCUAGAGUGUUUAGUGUUCGUGUUCUACCUGUCUUCAGAAAGUAGCUAUAUCUAAAUAUGUGGAGAAAAAAAAACGAUUGUCAUCCGUAACCUAGGCAACCUUAUUAGUCCCCUCUGUUACCGGCUAGAGUAGUCAUGAUUGGUCUGUUAGCUGGUGACGAUCAUAGCUGAGAUAGUGGUAAUGAUAUCUAGCCUUGAUCCUUUUCUCUCUCUCUCUCUCUCUCUCUCUCUCUCUCUCUCUCUCUCUCUCUCUCUCUCUCUCUCUCUCUC
Long non-coding RNA from Coregonus clupeaformis (lake whitefish), 1255 nucleotides. RefSeq lists it as uncharacterized. Lineage: Eukaryota; Metazoa; Chordata; Actinopteri; Salmoniformes; Salmonidae. The record is from RefSeq and is a predicted model, not a curated record. The transcript is spliced from 3 exons.